Molecule: ribosomal RNA, 426 nt
Filed under: uncultured bacterium
Lineage: Bacteria
Description: bacterial SSU rRNA
Rfam family: Bacterial small subunit ribosomal RNA
Source: RNAcentral
GUGGGGAAUAUUGCGCAAUGGGGGCAACCCUGACGCAGCAACGCCGCGUGAUUGAAGAAGGCCUUCGGGUUGUAAAGAUCUUUAAUCAGGGACGAAAUUUGACGGUACCUGAAGAAUAAGCUCCGGCUAACUACGUGCCAGCAGCCGCGGUAAUACGUAGGGAGCAAGCGUUAUCCGGAUUUACUGGGUGUAAAGGGCGAGUAGGCGGGCUGGUAAGUUGGAAGUGAAAUCUAGGGGCUUAACCCCUAAACUGCUUUCAAAACUGCUGGUCUUGAGUGAUGGAGAGGCAGGCGGAAUUCCCAGUGUAGCGGUGAAAUGCGUAGAUAUUGGGAGGAACACCAGUGGCGAAGGCGGCCUGCUGGACAUUAACUGACGCUGAGGAGCGAAAGCGUGGGGAGCAAACAGGAUUAGAAACCCUUGUAGUCC